RNAcentral lists this ribosomal RNA (1414 nucleotides) under metagenome. RNAcentral's name for it is "bacterial LSU rRNA". It matches the Rfam family "Bacterial large subunit ribosomal RNA", at positions 1534 to 2925 of the family's 2925-position model. The record is from RNAcentral.
GGGCAAAUCCGGAAAAUCAAGGCUGAGGCGUGAUGACGAGGCACUACGGUGCUGAAGCGACAAAUGCCCUGCUUCCAGGAAAAGCCUCUAAGCAUCAGGUAACAUCAAAUCGUACCCCAAACCGACACAGGUGGUCAGGUAGAGAAUACCAAGGCGCUUGAGAGAACCCGGGUGAAGGAACUAGGCAAAAUGGUGCCGUAACUUCGGGAGAAGGCACGCUGAUAUGUAGGUGAAGCGACUUGCUCGUGGAGCUGAAAUCAGUCGAAGAUACCAGCUGGCUGCAACUGUUUAUUAAAAACACAGCACUGUGCAAACACGAAAGUGGACGUAUACGGUGUGACGCCUCCCCGGUGCCGGAAGGUUAAUUGAUGGGGUCAGCGCAAGCGAAGCUCUUGAUCGAAGCCCCGGUAAACGGCGGCCGUAACUAUAACGGUCCUAAGGUAGCGAAAUUCCUUGUCGGGUAAGUUCCGACCUGCACGAAUGGCGUAAUGAUGGCCAGGCUGUCUCCACCCGAGACUCAGUGAAAUUGAACUCGCUGUGAAGAUGCAGUGUACCCGCGGCAAGACGGAAAGACCCCGUGAACCUUUACUAUAGCUUGACACUGAACAUUGAGCCCUGAUGUGUAGGAUAGGUGGGAGGCUUUGAAGUGUGGACGCCAGUCUGCAUGGAGCCGACCUUGAAAUACCACCCUUUAAUGUUUGAUGUUCUAACGUAGACCCGUAAUCCGGGUUGCGGACAGUGUCUGGUGGGUAGUUUGACUGGGGCGGUCUCCUCCUAAAGAGUAACGGAGGAGCACGAAGGUUGGCUAAUCCUGGUCGGACAUCAGGAGGUUAGUGCAAUGGCAUAAGCCAGCUUGACUGCGAGCGUGACGGCGCGAGCAGGUGCGAAAGCAGGUCAUAGUGAUCCGGUGGUUCUGAAUGGAAGGGCCAUCGCUCAACGGAUAAAAGGUACUCCGGGGAUAACAGGCUGAUACCGCCCAAGAGUUCAUAUCGACGGCGGUGUUUGGCACCUCGAUGUCGGCUCAUCACAUCCUGGGGCUGAAGUAGGUCCCAAGGGUAUGGCUGUUCGCCAUUUAAAGUGGUACGCGAGCUGGGUUUAGAACGUCGUGAGACAGUUCGGUCCCUAUCUGCCGUGGGCGCUGGAGAACUGAGGGGGGCUGCUCCUAGUACGAGAGGACCGGAGUGGACGCAUCACUGGUGUUCGGGUUGUCAUGCCAAUGGCACUGCCCGGUAGCUAAAUGCGGAAGAGAUAAGUGCUGAAAGCAUCUAAGCACGAAACUUGCCCCGAGAUGAGUUCUCCCUGACUCCUUGAGAGUCCUGAAGGAACGUUGAAGACGACGACGUUGAUAGGCCGGGUGUGUAAGCGCAGCGAUGCGUUGAGCUAACCGGUACUAAUGAACCGUGAGGCUUAACCC